UGGGGAAUAUUGCACAAUGGGCGCAAGCCUGAUGCAGCCAUGCCGCGUGUGUGAAGAAGGCCUUCGGGUUGUAAAGCACUUUCAGCGAGGAGGAAGGUGGUGAACUUAAUACGUUCAUCAAUUGACGUUACUCGCAGAAGAAGCACCGGCUAACUCCGUGCCAGCAGCCGCGGUAAUACGGAGGGUGCAAGCGUUAAUCGGAAUUACUGGGCGUAAAGCGCACGCAGGCGGUUUGUUAAGUCAGAUGUGAAAUCCCCGGGCUCAACCUGGGAACUGCAUUUGAAACUGGCAAGCUAGAGUCUCGUAGAGGGGGGUAGAAUUCCAGGUGUAGCGGUGAAAUGCGUAGAGAUCUGGAGAACUACCGGAUGGCGAACGCGGCCCCCUGGACGAAGACUGACGCUCAGGUGCGAAAAGGCGUGGGGCAGCAAAACAGGAUUANAUACCCUGGUAGUCCACGCUGU
Molecule: ribosomal RNA, 461 nt
Filed under: uncultured bacterium
Lineage: Bacteria
Description: partial 16S ribosomal RNA
Rfam family: Bacterial small subunit ribosomal RNA
Source: RNAcentral